GCUCCAUGCGCCAGUCACUGCUCAUUCUUGCCAACGUGCCCUUUGCAUUAGUGGGAGGCAUGCUGGCCCUGUGGGUCUCCGGCGCAUAUCUGUCGGUGCCGGCUUCCGUCGGCUUUAUCGCGCUGCUCGGCAUCGCCGUGCUCAACGGGCUGGUUCUGGUCAGUUAUUUCAAUCAGUUGCUGGACAGCGGGCUUCCGUUAGA
This 202-nucleotide unclassified non-coding RNA is filed under the name Hevea brasiliensis (rubber tree). Lineage: Eukaryota; Viridiplantae; Streptophyta; Magnoliopsida; Malpighiales; Euphorbiaceae. The record is from RNAcentral.